UUUAUACGUCGAAUUUUGGUCGCGUCGAAUGCAAUUCAAACAAUCGAUAACGAGAUGAUAAACCUCAUUAAGCAUCAUUAUCUAUUGUUUGAAUUGCAUUCGACGCGACCAAAAUUCGACGUACAAA
This is a non-coding RNA of Paramuricea clavata, 127 nucleotides long. Lineage: Eukaryota; Metazoa; Cnidaria; Anthozoa; Malacalcyonacea; Plexauridae. The record is from the annotation of a GenBank genome assembly.